Molecule: transfer RNA, 68 nt
Filed under: Mokopirirakau galaxias
Lineage: Eukaryota; Metazoa; Chordata; Lepidosauria; Squamata; Diplodactylidae
Description: tRNA-Ala
Source: RNAcentral
AGGCUUUAGCUUAAUUAAAGUGUCUGAGUUGCAUUCAGGAGAUGUGCAUUAAGGCUGUACAGGUCUUC